This 486-nucleotide ribosomal RNA is filed under the name uncultured bacterium. RNAcentral describes it as "partial 16S ribosomal RNA". It matches the Rfam family "Bacterial small subunit ribosomal RNA", at positions 29 to 507 of the family's 1533-position model. The record is from RNAcentral.
AUUGAACGCUGGCGGCAUGCCUUACACAUGCAAGUCGAACGGCAGCACGGGAGAGCUUGCCUGGUGGCGAGCGGCGGACGAGCGGGUAAGAAAUAGGAAGAAAUGCUGCAGUGGGGGGUAGCUAGCCGAAAGCAGGACUAAUACAGCAUACGAACGACGGACGAAAGCGGGGGGCGGUCGGGUCUGGCGCUCGCGAGUUGGCCGAUGGCUGAUUAGCUAGUUGGUGGGGUAAAGGCCUACCAAGGCGACGAUCAGUAGCUGGUCUGAGAGGACGAACAGCCACACUGGGACUGAGACACGGCCCAGACUCCUACGGGAGGCAGCAGUGGGGAAUUUUGGACAAUGGGGGCAACCCUGAUCCAGCAAUGCCGCGUGUGUGAAGAAGGCCUUCGGGUUGUAAAGCCCUUUUGUCAGGGAAGAAAUCCUCGGCGCUAAUACCCCCGCGGGAUGACGGUACCUGCAGAAUAAGCACCGGCUAACUACGUG